RNAcentral lists this ribosomal RNA (373 nucleotides) under uncultured bacterium. Its description in RNAcentral is "bacterial SSU rRNA". It matches the Rfam family "Bacterial small subunit ribosomal RNA", at positions 521 to 896 of the family's 1533-position model. The record is from RNAcentral.
UAAUACGGAGGGUGCAAGCGUUAUCCGGAUUCACUGGGUUUAAAGGGUGUGUAGGCGGAUAUUUAAGUCAGUGGUGAAAUCUCCAGGCUCAACCUGGAAACUGCCAUUGAUACUAUUUAUCUUGAAUUCUGUUGAGGUGGGCGGAAUACAUCAUGUAGCGGUGAAAUGCUUAGAUAUGAUGUAGAACACCGAUUGCGAAGGCAGCUCACUAAGCAGACAUUGACGCUGAGGCACGAAAGCGUGGGGAUCAAACAGGAUUAGAUACCCUGGUAGUCCACGCCCUAAACGAUGAUUACUCGACAUACGCGAUACACAGUGUGUGUCUGAGCGAAAGCAUUAAGUAAUCCACCUGGGAAGUACGACCGCAAGGUUG